Molecule: ribosomal RNA, 253 nt
Filed under: uncultured prokaryote
Description: partial 16S ribosomal RNA
Rfam family: Bacterial small subunit ribosomal RNA
Source: RNAcentral
AACGUAGGACGCAAGCGUUAUCCGGAGUUACUGGGCGUAAAGGGCGGGCAGGCGGUCUCACACGUCGGAUGUGAAAGCGCCCGGCUAAACCGGGCGAGGCCAUGUGAUACGGUGGGACUGGAAGGCAGCAGAGGUAGGCGGAAUUCCGGGUGGAGUGGUGAAAUGCGUAGAGAUCCGGAGGAACACCAGAGGCGAAGGCGGCCUACUGGGCUGCACUUGACGCUGAGCCGCGAAAGCCAGGGGAGCGAACGGG